Molecule: non-coding RNA, 2821 nt
Organism: Homo sapiens (human)
Lineage: Eukaryota; Metazoa; Chordata; Mammalia; Primates; Hominidae
Source: RefSeq, a predicted model, not a curated record
ACUUACACGUUAUCCCAGAACUCCCAGCAAAGAAGGAUAAGCUUUUGCAAGCACAAAGUCUCCGGUUGUCAUUCCAGGGCUGCUGUGCCAUAGCUACAUUUAGAAAGUUGCAGGAGAAAAUAAACUGAUUAACAAGCAGCGAAACCUGCAAAUUAUGCCUCACUUAGGCUUAGAUUCAAGAAAACCCAGACCAAGCUUGGGAUUCUAAGAGUCUCUCCGUGCAAGCUGACCUCAUGGAGAAAGUGGCAGAGCUUGUCCCUUCCACUGGGAGACCCUGGAGUUCAUUCAGGAGACUGGAUGCCCCUGGGCUCGGGCUGCACUGUGGACCCCACUGUGGAAUCACCACUCCCAGGCUGACCUCAGGCAGGUUCCAGAUCUGUUCUCCACUUCUGCAACAAAACUUACCCGGGCCAUGGUUUUAUGCAGAAAUCUGACAAGGCAGGUCCAUCAAGAGGUUUCCAGAAGAAGGCAUCGCUAUCACAGGAGAUGGCAGCUCCAUGCCUGUUACUGCCCCUGAAGAUGUUCCAGUGGGACAGGGUGUGGAGGUGGAAGACAGCAACAGUGACGAUCCUGACCCUAAAUUGACCAGAUUGCUUUGAGGAACUAAGAAGCUGUUAAACCUUUGGAAGAACUGGCCUGAUACGUUGUCUACAUGGUUCUCCUACAAGGUGUAUGAGUCCAUUUUUAUGCUGCUGAUAAAGACAUACCUGCAACUAAGAGGAAAAAGUUGUUUAACUGGACUUACAGUUCCACAUGGCUGGGAAGGCCUCAGAAUCAUGGCAGGAGGCGAAAGGCACUUCUUACAUGGUGGCACCAAGGGAAAAUGAGGAUGAUGAAAAAGUGAAAACCCCUGAAAAAAUCAGAUUUUGUGAGACUUAUUCACUACCACGAGAACAGUCUGGGGGAAACCGCUCCCAUGAUUCAAAUUAUCUCCCACCCGGUCCCUGCCCCCGCAACCCCCCCACAACAUAUGAGAAUUACGGGAGUACAAUUCAAGAAGAUUUAGGUGGGGACACAAAGCCAAACCAUAUUACAAGGUUUAUAGCCUUGCAGUAAGUAAAGAAUACCAUUUUCUGACAAGCCCAGGAACUUCAGGAUAUUUUGGGGACCUCAAAAAAGAGGGAUUUACCCAAUUCAUACAAGUAUUACAGGCAAAAUCUGAUGGUGAAUUGCUGGCCUGGCUUCCAAUCUUAAGAGGCUUUUAAAGAUUGAACCUGAAAUUCCUUAUAAAAAAAGUUUCAGUCAAGUCAAUUUAAAAAGUGCUCAGAUGGCCAAGUACAAUUCUGGCUGUACUUUAGUCAAAUACUCAGGCCAAGUAUAACAAGUCUAAGACUUUAUUUUGCAAAUAAAUUGGUCCUACUGUAAACCAAAAAGUGUCUGAGACAAGUUUCAGUCCAUUUAGAAAGUUUAUUUUGCCAAGGUUAAGGACAUACCAGUGACACAGCCUCGGGAGAUCUUGACAACAUGUGCCUAAGGUGGUUGGGGCACAGCUUGGUUUUCUACAUUUUAGGGAGACAUGAGACUCAAUCAUUAUAUGCACGAUGUACAUUGGUUUGGUCCAGAAAAGAGGGACAACUUAAAACCAAAAGAGGGCUUCCAGGUCAGAGGUAGAUAAGAGACAAAUGGUUGCAUUCUUUUGAGUUUCUGAUUAGGCUUUCACUGAAUACACAAUUUACAGAAAUAGUCGCUUAUGCCUUAGUCUGGCUUAGUAAAGCAACAGAACAAAGGAAGCACUCAGAUGCGCGUGUCCCAUGUGAGCAGAGGGAUAACUUUGACAUCUGUUUGUGCUUUGUCUAAAGGAAUUUUUCUUCGUGGGAAAAUUGUAAGGGAGGUAUGUAGCUUUUCAAAAUUUUUGUAGCUAUCUUAUUUAGGAGUAGACUACAUAGACUGGGAAGCAGGUUUGCAUGACAAGUUUCCCAGCUUGAAUUUCCCUUUGGCGUAGUGAUUUUGGGGUCCCUAGAUUUAUUUUUCUUCCAUAUUUACUUUUUCUUUGCUUAAAUUUAUCUUUGCCUAAAUUAAUUGUGGGACGGGAAAGGGAAAAUUUAUGUUUCAGAAGAAAACUAUGGUACACUUAUUAGUUUCUAGCUCUGAUCUUUUUUUUUUUUUUCAGUUUUGCUAUUUGCCCACAAUUUAAACUAAAUCCUAUUUUUUUUUCUGGUUACAGGCUUUCAGACAAAUUUUUCUCCUAUUUUUUAAGCUCACUGAAAUUGAUAAUACCUUUUUACCGAGGCCUUGCAAGCUGAAGUUUAUGCAUAAAUAACCUUGUGACAUACAAAUUACAGAUCACAAAAUCUGUCAGAUCGCCAAUGCCUCCUUCCACAGUAACUAAAGAUGCCUCUAGUUGAACAGCUGGAUACCUCAACUGACUGCUCUCCAGACUCUAAAGAAAUCCGUUUAUAGACUGCUCCAAAUAUUAACCUUUGUUUUUCUGCUGUUUGGGAGCCCAUCUGCAACGCCAUUUCCUGAAAUGAGACACAGCUGUUUAAUUGGACUGGUCUACUCGUAGAAAUAGAACACCAGUUUAAUGAUAAUUUUUGCUACUCAGCUAUUAACUCAAAUAUUAUCUUCACACCCAACAACUUAGAUUUUAGUGUGUGAAACUUUGAGGGACAUUUUAGACAGAGGACUUUUGGGGUGCAGAAGUGGUUCCCUGAUAUAUGACACCUGGGCAUGGUGAGUGCUUUUAAACAUUAAAAGACCUCAUAAAUAAGCCUCAGAAUCAUGGUCCCCCUAAAACUGUCUUGGGGCAGGAAGGGACUCUCUCUCUGUAAUUUCCUUAUCUGACUAAGAAAUCUUCUUCCCAAAAAACCACAAUUGCCAU